GACGAACGCUGGCGGCGUGCUUAACACAUGCAAGUCGAACGGAAAGGCCCUGCUUUUGUGGGGUGCUCGAGUGGCGAACGGGUGAGUAACACGUGAGUAACCUGCCCUUGACUUUGGGAUAACUUCAGGAAACUGGGGCUAAUACCGGAUAGGAGCUCCUGCUGCAUGGUGGGGGUUGGAAAGUUUCGGCGGUUGGGGCUGGACUCGCGGCUUAUCAGCUUGUUGGUGGGGUAGUGGCUUACCAAGGCUUUGACGGGUAGCCGGCCUGAGAGGGUGACCGGCCACAUUGGGACUGAGAUACGGCCCAGACUCCUACGGGAGGCAACAGUGGGGAAUAUUGCACAAUGGGCGGAAGCCUGAUGCAGCAACGCCGCGUGCGGGAUGACGGCCUUCGGGUUGUAAACCGCUUUCGCCUGUGACGAAGCGUGAGUGACGGUAAUGGGUAAAGAAGCACCGGCUAACUACGUG
Molecule: ribosomal RNA, 468 nt
Filed under: uncultured bacterium
Lineage: Bacteria
Description: partial 16S ribosomal RNA
Rfam family: Bacterial small subunit ribosomal RNA
Source: RNAcentral